AGUGAACGCUGGCGGUAGGCCUAACACAUGCAAGUCGAACGGCAGCACAGUAAGAGCUUGCUCUUACGGGUGGCGAGUGGCGGACGGGUGAGGAGUACAUCGGAAUCUACUUUUUCGUGGGGGAUAACGUAGGGAAACUUACGCUAAUACCGCAUACGACCUACGGGUGAAAGCAGGGGAUCUUCGGACCUUGCGCGAUAGAAUGAGCCGAUGUCGGAUUAGCUAGUUGGCGGGGUAAAGGCCCACCAAGGCGACGAUCCGUAGCUGGUCUGAGAGGAUGAUCAGCCACACUGGAACUGAGACACGGUCCAGACUCCUACGGGAGGCAGCAGUGGGGAACAUUGGACAAUGGGCGCAAGCCUGAUCCAGCCAUACCGCGUGGGUGAAGAAGGCCUUCGGGUUGUAAAGCCCUUUUGUUGGGAAAGAAAAGCAGCAGGUUAAUACCCCGCUGUUCUGACGGUACCCAAAGAAUAAGCACCGGCUAACUUCGUG
This 492-nucleotide ribosomal RNA is filed under the name uncultured bacterium. Its description in RNAcentral is "partial 16S ribosomal RNA". It matches the Rfam family "Bacterial small subunit ribosomal RNA", at positions 29 to 507 of the family's 1533-position model. The record is from RNAcentral.